This 200-nucleotide unclassified non-coding RNA is filed under the name Atractiellales sp. RNAcentral describes it as "partial internal transcribed spacer 2". Lineage: Eukaryota; Fungi; Basidiomycota; Atractiellomycetes; Atractiellales. The record is from RNAcentral.
UUAAGUUCAGCGGGUAGUCCUGCCUGAUCUGAGGCCAAACACUUAAAUAGGUUUGUAAAUGGCUAGCUGCACCCCACCAUACCCACAGAAGUCCGGCGAAUAAAGACCUAUUACGCCAGACAAAUCUGCAGAGGAGGAGAAAGCAGACCACUGAUACAUUUAGAGUGAGCUGAUGCACAGGUCCAGCAGGCACUCAUGAU